RNAcentral lists this ribosomal RNA (451 nucleotides) under uncultured bacterium. Its description in RNAcentral is "partial 16S ribosomal RNA". It matches the Rfam family "Bacterial small subunit ribosomal RNA", at positions 29 to 523 of the family's 1533-position model. The record is from RNAcentral.
AACGAACGCUGGCGGCAGGCUUAACACAUGCAAGUCGAACGGGUGCAGCAAUGCAUCAGUGGCAGACGGGUGAGUAACACGUGGGAGCCUUCCUAGGGGUACGGAACAACUCAGGGAAACUUGAGCUAAUACCGUAUACGUCCGUGAGGAGAAAGAUUUAUCGCCCUUAGACGGGCCCGCGUCGGAUUAGCUAGUCGGUGGGGUAACGGCCUACCAAGGCGACGAUCCGUAGCUGAUCUUAGAGGAUGAUCAGCCACACUGGGACUGAGACACGGCCCAGACUCCUACGGGAGGCAGCAGUGGGGAAUCUUGGACAAUGGGCGCAAGCCUGAUCCAGCCAUGCCGCGUGAGUGAAGAAGGUCUUCGGAUUGUAAAGCUCUUUUGCCAGGGACGAUAAUGACGGUACCUGGAGAAUAAGCCCCGGCAAACUUCGUGCCAGCCGCCGCAGUAA